CCUAACUUUAUAAACCGAAGCUGAAGGGAAACUGCAGUCGUCGACGCCUGCGUUGGCAUCGCAAAAGCCCAGGAGGGAUAGCGCAGCCGAGAUUCUCCGACAGCUCCCCACCUCUCCCGGCUCUCUGAUCUACCACGUCAGUGGUCUCCUCCAGGCAGUGCAAAGGCAGUAUCUCUCUGAAUCCCGGGACGUCUCAGCCAAAGCAGGGAAGACACCCCAAGUACGCUGGAAGGCUGGGUAAGGCGCGAAGGGCAGCCCCAUUCCAGUCUUCAAAGAGAGCUAGCUGUUCACCGCUCCUCUCCUCCAGAUUUCACCGUGCCUGAAGAACUACCAUGCUUUUCAUGUAAUAUUUUUAAAAACAUUAAAUACUUUGGAUUAAGAGAUGAUCGAGAGAACAAGUGCGCAUAUGUAUAUAUAUGUGUGUGUGUGUGUGUGUGUAUGUAUAUAUACUGUUUUGGUGCCACUCCCAUUCCAGUAACUAGGAAAUAAUAUGCCUUUUCUCCAGGAAGCACUUGUUUUAAAUCAGUAAGCUCUGAAUAGACAAAAUAGUAAUGCAUUUUCAACAACUUGCUCAAUAUUUUUAAUAUUUCAUCACAAA
Molecule: long non-coding RNA, 598 nt
Filed under: Homo sapiens (human)
Lineage: Eukaryota; Metazoa; Chordata; Mammalia; Primates; Hominidae
Description: HSALNT0166428
Source: RNAcentral